CAGCCGCCACGGUAAUACGUAGGGUGCAAGCGUUGUCCGGAAUUAUUGGGCGUAAAGAGCUCGUAGGCGGUUUGUCGCGUCUGCCGUGAAAGUCCGGGGCUCAACCCUGGAUCUGCGGUGGGUACGGGCAGACUAGAGUGAUGUAGGGGAGACUGGAAUUCCUGGUGUAGCGGUGAAAUGCGCAGAUAUCAGGAGGAACACCGAUGGCGAAGGCAGGUCUCUGGGCAUUAACUGACGCUGAGGAGCGAAAGCAUGGGGAGCGAACAGGAUUAGAUACCCCGGUAGUCCCUGUCUCUUAUAA
RNAcentral lists this ribosomal RNA (301 nucleotides) under uncultured bacterium. RNAcentral describes it as "partial 16S ribosomal RNA". It matches the Rfam family "Bacterial small subunit ribosomal RNA", at positions 509 to 809 of the family's 1533-position model. The record is from RNAcentral.